This 774-nucleotide ribosomal RNA is filed under the name uncultured Neocallimastigales. RNAcentral describes it as "partial large subunit ribosomal RNA". It matches the Rfam family "Eukaryotic large subunit ribosomal RNA", at positions 24 to 642 of the family's 3401-position model. The record is from RNAcentral. Lineage: Eukaryota; Fungi; Neocallimastigomycota; Neocallimastigomycetes; Neocallimastigales.
UAUCUCUGUAGAGUCUGCAUAUCAAUAAGCGGAGGAAAAGAAACUAACAAGGAUUCCCCUAGUAACGGCGAGUGAAGCGGGAAGAGCUCAAAUUUGAAAUCUUAAAGGGUUUCCCUUUACGAAUUGUAGUUUAAAGAAGUGUUUUCUGUUGGAGUUUCGGUAAAAGUUCUUUGGAAUAGGACAUCAUAGAGGGUGAGAAUCCCGUAUUUGACUAUUCUUUCUAGCUUUGUGAUACACUUUCAAAGAGUCGGAUUGUUUGGGAAUGCAGUCCAAAAUGGGUGGUAAAUUUCAUCUAAAGCUAAAUAUUGGCGAGAGACCGAUAGCGAACAAGUACCGUGAGGGAAAGAUGAAAAGAACUUUGAAAAGAGAGUUAAACAGUACGUGAAAUUGUCAAAAGGGAAGCGUUUGACACCAGUGUUGUUUUUCCGAAAAUCAAUUAAAAAUUGAUUCAUGCCAGGUUGUAUUGACCUUAUCAGCUUGCAAUUUGGUUUUGGGUCUCUUUUUGAUGCACUUUUCGGUUAACAAGUCAACAUCAAUUUCCUUUGCUGUAAAAAGGUAAGAGGAAGGUGGCUUCAAUUUCGGUUGAAGUGUUUAUAGCCUUUUAUCUCUGCAGUCGGGGAGAUUGAGGUCUGCAGCGUAGAUCCUUCGGGGCUAGAUACAUUUAUGCUAAGUUAUAGCUUUUCAUAGACAACUUGUUAACUAUGUUUAGUCAUGUAGCUUACUCGUAAGUGCUAUUUUACCUACGCUUAGGAUGUUGAGCGCAUGUCUCUCUCU